CGGGGCGCCGCGGAGCGCUGUCUCUCCCCGCCGGAGGAGGGUCUCCACAAAAACAUCUUCGGGGACUGUGGCACAAGUCUUUGCCAAGUUGAGUCCUGGACCUUGAGGCUCCCCGGAGCCCGGAGCAACUUGGAGGGUCUCCUGGCUCGUUAACGAUAUUUCUACACGUCUCGACUUUGGGGUGCUGGGUGCAGCCUUGGGGCGCGCGGAGGGCGGACCGACCAUUUGGGAGCGCAGAGCGGCGGGAAUCUAGGUUCCUCGGCUGGUGAAUAAAUGCAAAGGAUUUCCCAAAAGGAUGGUGUAGUUUUGCAUGGGAGAGCCGGGAGAGCACGUGUUGGGUACACAGCUGAGGACUGAAGGCAGGUGGAGUCUUUGAAUUUUUAAAAAGACAAUGGUAAUCAGAUUGACUUGAAAAAUUAAGUGAAUUGACUUGGUUGGAACACUCUUUUACCGAUUCAGUAACAUUCAGCUGCUGGAAUCUACAUACCUGGGGUGAAGGCGGCCUUUGGAUUAUUUUGCUGCAGUCCUAGGAGGAACUCUUUGCAGUCUCUUGGAGCUGGCUCUGAAAGGUACUGUGUCAUUUGGUUCAAAGUCUGUUCAGCUUUAAUCCCUUGCGUGUAUGUAUCCAGGCAAUAUGGAGAAGGAAAAACGUGUUCGUACGCAAAAAGUUUGGUAGUGCUGCAGAACGCUAGAUCUGGGUUGACUUUGUCUCCACGUGAAGGAUAAUGACAUUGCUCUGAUCGUUGCUUUGGAAGCCUUCUUGUCAGCAACAUUGACAAAU
This 781-nucleotide long non-coding RNA is filed under the name Lynx canadensis (Canada lynx). RNAcentral describes it as "lncRNA (ENSLCNG00005012464.1)". Lineage: Eukaryota; Metazoa; Chordata; Mammalia; Carnivora; Felidae. The record is from RNAcentral.